GGACUACCGGGGUAUCUAAUCCUGUUUGCUCCCCACGCUUUCGCGUCUUAGCGUCAGAAACCGUCCAGAUAGCCGCCUUCGCCACUGGUGUUCUUCCCAAUCUCUACGUAUUUCACCACUACACUGGGAAUUCCACUAUCCUCUCCGGUCCUCUAGUCGCCCAGUAUCAAGUGCAUUUCUUGAGUUGAGCUCAAGGCUUUCACACCUGACUAUGGCAACCGCCUACACGCGCUUUACGCCCAGUAAUUCCGAACAACGCUAGCCCCCUUCGUCUUACCGCGGCGGCUGGCAC
This 292-nucleotide ribosomal RNA is filed under the name uncultured Alphaproteobacteria bacterium. RNAcentral describes it as "partial 16S ribosomal RNA". Lineage: Bacteria; Pseudomonadati; Pseudomonadota; Alphaproteobacteria. The record is from RNAcentral.